CUUUGGACUUGGACUUUCGGGUUAAUGCUGAAAUGAGCUAAGACUUUGGAGGACUAUUGGAAAGGCAUGAUUGAUUUUGAAAUGUGAGGGCAUGAGAUUUGGGAGUGUCCAGGUUUGGCUGUGUCCCCACUCAAAUCUCAUCUUGAAUUUUGGUUCCCAUAAAUCUCAUGUGUUGUGGGAGGGACACACGGAAUUGAAUCACACACAUGAUUCAAUUACCUAUGAUAGGAGGUGAUUGAAUCAUGCAGGCAGUUAUCCCCAUGCUGUUCUCGUGAUAGUGAAUUCUCAUGAGAUCUGAUGGUUUUAUAAGGGGCUUUUCCACCUUGGCUUGGCACUUUUUCCGUCCCCCACAUGAAGAAGGACGUGUUUGCUUCCCCUUCCACCAUGAUUUAAGCUUCCUGAGGCCUCCCCAGCCCUACAGAACUGUGAGUCAAUUAAACUAAUUUCCUUUACUAAUUAUCCAGUCUUGGAUAUGUCCUUAUGAGAGACAGGACUAGCUGGAUUUCCUAGGCCGACUAAGAAUCCCUAAGCCUAGCUGGGAAGGUGACUGCAUCCACCUUUAAACACGGGGCUUGCAACUUAGCUCACAUUCGACCAAUCAGGUAAUUAAAAAAAGCUCACUAAAGUGCUAAUUAGGCAAAAACAGGAGGUAAAGAAAUAGCUAAUCAUCUAUCGCCUGAGAGCACAGCGGGAGGCAGAAUGAUCGGGACAUAAACCCAGGCAUUCGAGCCAGCAAGUUACCCUCUUUGGGUCCCCUCCCUUUGUAUGGGAGCUCUGUUUUCACUCUAUUAAAUCUUGCAACUGCACUCUCUUUUGGUCCGUGUUUGUUACGGCUCGAGCUGAGCUUUCACUCGCCGCCCACCACUGCUGUUUGCUGCCGUCGGAGACCCGCCGUUGACUUCCAUCCCUCCAGAUCCAGCAGGGUGUCCGCUGUGCUCCUGAUCCAGUGAGGCACCCAUUGCCGCUCCGGAUCAGGCUAAAGGCUUGCCAUUGUUCCUGCACAGCUAAGUGCCCGGGUUCAUCCUAAUCGAGCUGAACACUAGUCACUGGGUUCCACUGUUCUCUUCCAUGACCCACGGCUUCUAAUAGAGCUAUAACACUCACCGCAUGAUCCAAGAUUCCAUUCCUUGGAAUCCAUGAGGCUAAGAACCCCAGGUCAGAGAACACAAGGCUUGCCACCGUCUUGGAAGCAGCCUGCCACCAUGUUGGGAGCUCUGGAAGCAAGGACCCCCCAGUAACAUUUUGGCGACCACGAAGGGACCUCCAAAAUGGAAAGAUGAAAGAAUGAAUGAGUGAGAGUCUGAGAAGCACUGCUUUAGAGCACCUGUUACAGGGACCCUGGACCUCAAGAGGACUUGGGAUCGACCUCCCCACCAAACUGACUGAGGACUGUGUAUUCUGCUGAUCUUCUGCAUAGCAACAGACCUGGUUUACCUUCAGAGACUCAUCAAACUAUCUGAGAGAAUGCAAUUCCUUUAAGAUCUCUUUUCUCUGUGUGUGUGUUUUUAAAUAUACUCUUGCAUUUUAGUAGUUAAUUGAGAUGGGAUUCAUGCAUGAGAGAUUUACUGAAUUUGUAUCUGAUUAGCCAGGGCCACUUUAUACUCUGUAAUUGUAGAUGUGGUUUUUAAACUGACAAUUGUAAGUUUGCAUGUAUUCUUUUUCUCCUAACUCUGUUUAGACUUUGUAUUCAGGAUAGAAAUUACCUUUUCUAAGAAGUUUUACCAAGCUGAGUGUAAAUCUAUAAUACCUCAGCAGUAAAACAAUCCCAGAGGGAUAAUUUUGUGCAACCAUUUCAAUCUUGAUACCAAUUAAAAUGGUAUGAUCUAUCUCACCGCCAUCACACAAAACAGGUUUCUAUGCCAUCUCCUCACCUCUUGCUUAGAGAAAACCAUCAGAUUGGUUCUAUUACACUCAGAUUUAAGAUCAAACAUCUUUUUUUCAGAGCUUUAUGGAUUCUAAUAACAAUAGAAAGUACUGAAAUAAGCCUAUUUUCGUGGCUGCCUUUCAAUCAGUAUGUAACACACUUUCCAUUUUGUCUUCACCAGAAAUAAAUUGUACUUUAAAUCUCUGCUCUCCUUAAAUAUUUCAAAUAUGUGGGAUAUGAUAUCAUCUCUAAAAAGGGAACUUCUUUAGAUGGCAUUGUUAGGAAGCCUUAGCAAAAGCAUUUUGCAAGCUAGUAACAUAAUUCUAGAACAGGUUUUAUUGC
RNAcentral lists this long non-coding RNA (2206 nucleotides) under Homo sapiens (human). RNAcentral describes it as "HSALNT0190183". Lineage: Eukaryota; Metazoa; Chordata; Mammalia; Primates; Hominidae. The record is from RNAcentral.